RNAcentral lists this ribosomal RNA (206 nucleotides) under uncultured bacterium. RNAcentral describes it as "partial 16S ribosomal RNA". It matches the Rfam family "Bacterial small subunit ribosomal RNA", at positions 568 to 774 of the family's 1533-position model. The record is from RNAcentral.
CACGUAGGCGGAUCUUUAAGUCAGAGGUGAAAUCCCAAGGCUCAACCUUGGAACUGCCUUUGAUACUGGAGAUCUUGAGUCCGGGAGAGGUGAGUGGAACUGCGAGUGUAGAGGUGAAAUUCGUAGAUAUUCGCAAGAACACCAGUGGCGAAGGCGGCUCACUGGCCCGGUACUGACGCUGAGGUGCGAAAGCGUGGGAGCAAACA